UUUUCUUCCCUUUGUACCUUAUCUGGGUUUGCAUUGAUUUUUAAUUCUGUUUAUAUGGUAAUGUAAGGUAGGAGAGGACUUACACUAGAGUUGAGAAAAAUGGUGGAUGAUUCUUCUUUCUUUGCUUAGUUAAUCAGUUUCUGUGCUGCUCUACUUGCAUUGCUUUUUGUGUUUCAGAAUUGGAAUUUCACUUUAUGAUACAGAUUUUUCAAUGUCCUUUGAAAUGUUUUUUGCAUUUUGUUACCCUUUAGGAGUUUUUUUUUUUUCCUUUCUUUGAAUUGAAUCAAUGACAAUGGCUGGUAUGCAAUAAGGUUCAUAUAACGCAAGGUGACCUUGUGGGGAGGGGAAUGAUCGUAUCAUGGGUGACUAUGGAUGAACCAGGGUCGAGUGCAGUGCGAUAUUGGAGAGGGAAAAAUGGCAAGAAGAAGACUGCAGAAGGAAAAAUGGUUACUUAUAGGUUCUUCAAUUACUCAUCUGGGUUUAUUCAUCACGCCACCAUCAGAAAUUUGGAGGUAAUACCUUUCUCUUUUCCAUUAUUUAAAUGUUAUGUUAUAUGCCAAGGUAGAGAAGCUUGUAAGAAAAAAAGAAAAACAGGCAUUUUGGUUUGUGAAUCAAAUGUUGAUGUGUGUGCUUCUUUUGGGGCAGUACAACACCAAAUACUACUAUGAAGUUGGACUUGGGAACACAACACGCCAGUUUUGGUUUGUAACUCCACCUGAAAUUGGCCCUGAUGUACCAUAUACAUUUGGUCUCAUUGGUAAGUGUGUUAUUGUGUGGUUGGAUAUAGUUACUUUUUUCUUGCCAAGAUUUACAUAUCUUUUAAUUUAACUUAUAAUGUAGACACUGGUAGCAGCUAUGUGGUCUUUUGAGAAGAAAAAGUGCUACAUGUCUGUGUCCUAAUAGGCCAAUAUGUUUGUUGUAAACUGGUGUGGCAUUAUUUGUAGGGGAUCUUGGUCAGAGUUUUGAUUCAAAUAUAACGCUUUCUCACUAUGAAUUGAGUCCAAAAAAAGGAGAAACAGUACUGUUUGUUGGAGACCUCUCUUAUGCUGAUAACUACCCGAAUCAUGAUAAUGUUAGGUGGGAUACUUGGGGAAGGUUUACAGAAAGGAGUGUUGCAUAUCAACCAUGGAUAUGGACUGCAGGGAACCAUGAAAUUGACUUUGCUCCAGAAAUUGUAACUUCUCUUUGUUUUUUUUUUCAAUUUUAAGUUUGGUGCAAUGCAUUUUCCCAGUCCAAAUCUUGGUAAGAAGUGAGUUUUCAACAUGGAUCAACACUUUUUUUGCAGGGUGAAACCGAACCUUUCAAGCCUUUUAGCCACCGUUACCAUGUUCCUUACGAAGCAUCUCAGAGCACUUCACCCUUCUGGUAUUCUAUCAAGAGAGCUUCAGCACACAUCAUUGUCUUGUCCUCAUAUUCAGCAUAUGGUAAUAAUCUGUGUGUGCAUGUCUAUUCAAACAUAUCAAGUUAAACUGUUUAAUUGGGUUAAAUGCACACCUUUUUGUUGUAGUAAGUAAUGUUGGUUAUUCUCAGGCAAAUAUACGCCACAAUAUACAUGGCUAGAACAGGAGCUACCGAAAGUUAACAGGUCAGAGACUCCUUGGUUGAUUGUUCUGAUGCAUUCACCUUGGUACAAUAGCUACAACUAUCACUACAUGGAAGGGGAAACAAUGAGAGUAAUGUACGAAGCCUGGUUUGUGAAGUACAAGGUUGAUGUUGUGUUUGCUGGUCAUGUUCAUGCCUAUGAACGAUCUGUAAGUGCUAAAACUUGACUCCUUAAACUACUCUUCUUCCAUUCUUCAUCUGAAAUUUCCAAUGCUUCUGAAAGCCACAAGAAUCUAUCAUGUAUCAUUAGGCUUGCAUUGAAACACUACUCAACUAAAUGUCAGCUUCUGUUCCUAAACUUUAUAGGACAAAAAUAUUGCACAAAUGAACUUCAAUAAUCUCUUUGGAAUAGUAUCUGAUUGAUGGGCUGCUAUAUAUAUCAGGAACGUGUUUCCAACAUUGCAUACAACAUUAUAAAUGGUCAUUGCAUUCCUGUAAAAGAUCAAUCAGCUCCUGUAUACAUCACCAUUGGUGAUGGAGGAAACCUUGAAGGUUUAGCAACCAAGUAAGCUCUUUAUACGUAACAUGAUGAUUCUUGUCACAUUUCUCCUUACUGUUAUGCUAUUAAGUUUGAACAAGUGAAGACUUUUGCAAAAGAACAGAUAAGAUGAAUUUAUGUGUAAGUUAGAGUUAAAAUCAAUUCAUGUAUGCUGAGGAAAAACUUAUUUUAUUUGUUGUUUUUAUUUCUCCCUCUAAAAGAUCUUGUGGGGGAAAGUGUGUUCAAACAUUUACCAAGUCUGAUAUGAACAACAUUUGAACUGCAGCAUGACACAACCACAACCAGCAUAUUCUGCAUUCCGAGAGGCCAGUUUUGGACAUGCCAUAUUUGACAUAAGGAACAGAACUCAUGCUCACUAUAGCUGGAACAGAAAUCAAGAUGGUGCUGCAGUGGAGGCUGAUUACAUUUGGUUUUUCAACCGAUUCUGGUACCCAGUUGAUGAUUCCACAGUUUAUGUUUCACAUUAAUGCUCACAUUCACUGAUCUUCAUAGAAGAAUGCAUGAUGUGAUGCCAAUAAAUUCAGCACUCGGCAACUAAAGAGUGCCAAUUCCACCAACAUGGAUUAUCAAUGUCACUGAAUCUCUGACACAGUUUAUAAAUUCAAAUUGCCUGCUUCUGUUCUGAAACACUUUACACUUUUAUCAUAUAUUUUAGGGGCAAAUUCUUCCUACACCCAAUCUGCAAUCUGUUUGAACCUGUACCCACAGAUUUAAAUUUCCAAAAAUGUUAUUCAUUCCAAAAAUUAAAAUUCGAAAUUUAAAUACAUUAUAAAAAAUAGAUCCGUAAGAGAUUAUUGUGUUCAAAAAUAAAAAACCGAAAAAAAAAACAAGAUCCUAUUCUGGAUAAGAAAAUCCGCAAUAAAAAAAUUCAUUUUGAGAAAAAAACUGAAACAUAUUCCGAAAAACGGGGUCUAAAAUGCAUUACUCCAGUUUAAUUAAGGGUAUUUUCGUCUUUUCAUACUGAAAUUAAGUGUACUGGUAUGGUGCAGGGAGCAAUUGCCCAAGUUCCGUAUCAAAUCCAUCAUUUAAUUUGGGCCUAGAGAUGUAGCCUACGUAGCCUAUUAGUUUUUAGGUAAAUUCUUUCUACACCCAACAUUUUUAACCUUACACCCAACCCAACACAAUUUUAAAAUUUCAAAAAUAUCUUUUAUAAAUGCCACUAUUGAAUUAAAUAAUCAAAGACUACACAAAUGAUAAAUACUUAGAUUUUUUGAACUUAAAAAAAGACCAACAAUUUCUCUCUAUCCCAAACUUUACAAAAAAAUUUAAUUUACAAUGUAAAUAAUUUUUCAUACUAAUAAUCAAUAAUUUAGUAUAAUAUGUUGCUUAUACCAUUAAACUGUUAUUAAUAAAUCUAACAGUAAGAUUAACAAUUCAAUUUAGUUUUUUUAUUAACAUAUAUUUAAAUUACUAAUAUCAAUUGUUAAAAUCCAAAAAAAAUAAAUAAACAUUUUUAACUUUAUAAUUCACUAAAUAAUAAUUUUCAACCACACUUAAAUUUCAUACUAAAAUAUAGUUUUCAACUUUACAAUGUACUAUAAUAUUAUUGUUAUGUUCAAUGAUUAAAUAAACAUUUGUACGCUAUGAAGAAUUAAAUGCAGUGUGAGAGGGUUCACGAAAAUUAAUUGGUGAUUUGAAUUUUGUGCGUAACAGUGUAUGAUUUGAUUUGGCAAGAACCUUUGGGUUCUCAGAAUGAGAUUGAAAUUGAAAAAUGCAAUGAAUGAAUUCAAAAACAAAAGUUUGAUGCCAGUUAUCACAAACUCCACCGCUUCGUGUGUGUUCUUUUGUGAAGAAAACUGUGUACAAUUUUUCUUCCACCUGAUAUAGGAAGAAGAAUCCAUGAAUAUUAUUGUUAUUCAUAUUGAUAUUCUAUCAUUAUCAUCAUCAUCAUCAUCAUCACUUUAUUCUUCCUAUUAUUACCAGUCACCGCUUUAAGUAAAUCCAACUCAGUUCGAUUUUCGGUCAUUGCACAGACUCCACCGUUUCGUGUGUGUUUUUUUGUGAAGAAAACUAUGGGCAAUGUUGCAAGCUUCAUGGUCCAAUUGUCUUGUUAUAUGCUGUUCAUAGCAAUUAGUAAACCCUUUUUAUUAUUAUUAUUAUUACUGCACCGGUUGCUUUGGAUUGAAAUUAUAAAUAGGUGAUCGAGUGUUGGGGUGUGGAUCAGUAGAAUCACAGGGUUUGAGCAAAAUGGGUGUUGUGAAGGGUCUCUUAGCUUUAGCUUUGGUUCUGAAUGUGGUUGUGGUGAGUAAUGGAGGCAAAAGCAGCAACUUUGUGAGGAAAACCAACAAGAAUAGGGAUAUGCCACUUGACAGUGAUGUGUUUAGGGUUCCUCCUGGUUAUAAUGCUCCUCAGCAGGUACAUACUCUACCCUUUUCUUCCUUUUGUACCUUAUCUGGGUUUCCAUUGAUUUUUAAUUCUGUUUAUAUGGUAAUGUAAGGUAGGAGAGGACUUACACUAGAGUUGAGAAAAAUGGUGGAUGAUUCUUCUUUCUUUGCUUAGUUAAUCAGUUUCUGUGCUGCUGCUUGAUCCACUACUUGCAUUGCUUUUUGUGUUUCAGAAUUGGAAUUUCACUUUAUGAUACAGAUUAUUUAUUUGCUUAGUGAAUCAGUUUCUCUGCUGCUGCUUGAUCCACUACUUGCAUUGCUUUUUGUGUUUUAGAAUUGGAAUUUCACUUAUGAUACAGAUUUUAGAGAGGGAAUUCCAUUGUUCUUUGAAAUGUUCUUGCAUUUUGUUACCCUUUAGCAGUUUUUUUUUCCUUUCUU
RNAcentral lists this long non-coding RNA (4863 nucleotides) under Phaseolus vulgaris (common bean). RNAcentral's name for it is "long non-coding RNA (PVUL_LNC000008)". Lineage: Eukaryota; Viridiplantae; Streptophyta; Magnoliopsida; Fabales; Fabaceae. The record is from RNAcentral.